Molecule: small nuclear RNA, 102 nt
Organism: Leptonychotes weddellii (Weddell seal)
Lineage: Eukaryota; Metazoa; Chordata; Mammalia; Carnivora; Phocidae
Source: RefSeq, a predicted model, not a curated record
GUGCUUGCUUCAACAGCACAUAUACUAAAAUUGAAAUAAGAGAAAUUAGCAUGGCUGCUGCCCGAGAAUGACAAGCAAAUUCAUGAAAUGUUAUAUAUUUUU